Long non-coding RNA from Anthonomus grandis grandis, 691 nucleotides. RefSeq lists it as uncharacterized. Lineage: Eukaryota; Metazoa; Arthropoda; Insecta; Coleoptera; Curculionidae. The record is from RefSeq and is a predicted model, not a curated record. The transcript has 2 exons.
CUACAACCAGAAUGGCAUCGUUGCAAUUUCGGCAAUGCUACUUACACUUACACUUUGAAAUAUUUAUGACAUUUGACUUAGGCCAACAUAUCUGUCAAUGUCAAACGCCAAACGUCACUGAAGCUUGCAAACAGCAUUUGGUGCCGCAGGGCUGACAUGAGUUAAAAGACUUGUCAUUGUCAAAUGUCACUUGUCAAGUGCUUGAAAAUUAUUUCAACAUUUAUUUAUUAAAAUACUGACAUAAAUGGCAACCACGCGUUUUCCGUAAAACUUUCAAAAUAUUUUCUUAAUUUUUUCACACCAGAGUGAUUCACGUGUUGAUUCACCUUCUUCCUUGUUUUCCUUGUGUAUUGUCGUUUUCCCCCUCAAGGUGCUAAUGGGGUCCGAUUAUUUAAACCAUGGCGGCCACUGAUCAACCAUCAGUCAGUUAUCAUCAGCAAAAUGUCAAAAGUGAUUUUAACGUGCCUUUUGGUGCUCUCUCUCAUGAGUUUGGUACUCGCCAAACCGGCUGAGACCUCCUCCGAGAACCCCACCACUGAGCAAUCGGAAGUAGAUGAGACCUCAGAGGUCGUGAGGGUGAAGAGAAACGUUUCCUUCAAUGGCAGGCCCUUUUUGACCAUGGUUUUCGGAUAAAAGUGCUAUAUUUAAGUUAAUUUGUAGUUUUAGUCAAUAAAUAUAUAUAUAUUUUUAA